GUGCCAGCCGCCGCGGUAAUACAUACUGUGCGAACGUUAUUCGGAUUCACUGGGCUUAAAGGGUGCGUAGGCGGCUUGUUAAGUAGGGUGUGAAAGCCCCCAGCUCAACUGGGGAACUGCACUCUAUACUGGCGAGCUGGAGUGAGAUAGGGGUGUGUGGAACUGCCAGUGGAGCGGUGAAAUGUGUUGAUAUUGGCAGGAACGCCGGUGGCGAAAGCGACACACUGGGUCUCAACUGACGCUGAGGCACGAAAGCCAGGGGAGCGAACGGGAUUAGAUACCCGAGUAGUCC
RNAcentral lists this ribosomal RNA (292 nucleotides) under uncultured bacterium. RNAcentral's name for it is "partial 16S ribosomal RNA". It matches the Rfam family "Bacterial small subunit ribosomal RNA", at positions 505 to 796 of the family's 1533-position model. The record is from RNAcentral.